UACGGGGGGAGCAAGCGUUGUUCGGAUUUACUGGGCGUAAAGGGCGCGUAGGCGGCGUGACAAGUCACUUGUGAAAUCUCCGGGCUUAACUCGGAACGGUCAAGUGAUACUGUCGUGCUAGAGUACAGAAGGGGCAACUGGAAUUCUCGGUGUAGCGGUGAAAUGCGUAGAUAUCGAGAGGAACACCUGCGGCGAAGGCGGGUUGCUGGGCUGAUACUGACGCUGAGGCGCGAAAGCUAGGGGAGC
RNAcentral lists this ribosomal RNA (246 nucleotides) under uncultured bacterium. RNAcentral describes it as "partial 16S ribosomal RNA". It matches the Rfam family "Bacterial small subunit ribosomal RNA", at positions 524 to 769 of the family's 1533-position model. The record is from RNAcentral.